UAGGGAAUAUUGCGCAAUGGGGGAAACCCUGACGCAGCGACGCCGCGUGAGUGAUGAAGGCCUUCGGGUCGUAAAGCUCUGUCGCAUGGGAAUAAGCUCUGAAGGUACCAUGCAAGAAAGGAUCGGCUAACUUCGUGCCAGCAGCCGCGGUAAGACGAGGGAUCCUAGCGUUGUUCGGAAUCAUUGGGCGUAAAGCGGGUGUAGGUGGUUUAAUAAGUCAGAUGUGAAAGCCCUGGGCUUAACCUAGGAAGUGCAUUUGAUACUGUUGAACUUGAGUGUGGGAGAGGGUAGUGGAACUCCUGGUGUAGUGGUGAAAUACGUAGAUAUCAGGAAGAACACCGGUGGCGAAGGCGGCUACCUGGCCCAACACUGACACUCAGACCCGAAAGCAUGGGGAUCAAACAGG
Molecule: ribosomal RNA, 406 nt
Filed under: uncultured bacterium
Lineage: Bacteria
Description: bacterial SSU rRNA
Rfam family: Bacterial small subunit ribosomal RNA
Source: RNAcentral